UACGAAGGGUGCAAGCGUUACUCGGAAUUACUGGGCGUAAAGCGUGCGUAGGUGGUCGUUUUAAGUCUGUUGUGAAAGCCCUGGGCUCAACCUGGGAACUGCAGUGGAAACUGGACGACUAGAGUGUGGUAGAGGGUAGCGGAAUUCCCGGUGUAGCAGUGAAAUGCGUAGAGAUGUGGAGGAACACCGAUGGCGAAGGCAGCCCCUGGGCCAAUACUGACGCUCAUGCACGAAAGCGUGGGGAGCAACAGG
RNAcentral lists this ribosomal RNA (252 nucleotides) under uncultured bacterium. RNAcentral's name for it is "partial 16S ribosomal RNA". It matches the Rfam family "Bacterial small subunit ribosomal RNA", at positions 524 to 775 of the family's 1533-position model. The record is from RNAcentral.